This 253-nucleotide ribosomal RNA is filed under the name uncultured bacterium. RNAcentral's name for it is "partial 16S ribosomal RNA". It matches the Rfam family "Bacterial small subunit ribosomal RNA", at positions 524 to 776 of the family's 1533-position model. The record is from RNAcentral.
UACGAAGGGGGCUAGCGUUGCUCGGAAUCACUGGGCGUAAAGGGUGCGUAGGCGGGUUUUUAAGUCAGAGGUGAAAUCCUGGAGCUCAACUCCAGAACUGCCUUUGAUACUGGCGAUCUCGAGUCCGGGAGAGGUGAGUGGAACUGCGAGUGUAGAGGUGAAAUUCGUAGAUAUUCGCAAGAACACCAGUGGCGAAGGCGGCUCACUGGCCCGGUACUGACGCUGAGGUGCGAAAGCGUGGGGAGCAAACAGG